UCCGUAAGAUAACUUGCUGUGUAAAGAUAGCCAGUUCCGCUAAAGGCUGCUCCUGGGAAAGUGGGUGCCUUGUGAAGUUCCACGUCGCUCCAGAUUUCAGAGACAGAUGCUGCUUCAUGUACCCAGGACUUGUUUCAACUUCAGCUAAUUCAGAUCAGGAAGCCGAUCCAACUCAUCAUUUGUUGCAACGGCUGGAGCUGGCAGGACAGGGAACUGCAGCCAGAAACUGCAAUGUGUGAAGAUACAUAGCAAGAGCACACUAUUGUGACAUGCCAGGCACCCAAGCCCAUCUAUCCUGUCCCCAGGGCAGAAGGGGGAUAAGAUGCAUGACCUUUGCAGUGCUGCUGAUUACUACCUCACAAUGAAGGCUGUGGAUGUCAGUUUGACAGCCAGAAAGAGACGUCAAGAGCGUGGACCUUGGGGUAAAAAACACAAAUUACUUAGAAUAAUGGUGCAGCUUUACUGCGUUUAUAGCAUUGAGCAGCCUCUCUUGGAUCUCCGAGUCAGAUGUUGCCAAGUAAAUCCAGUAUGUGAAGAAACUAUACCUUUUAAUGCACAAGUGAUUAAGGAUAUGUAAACCACAAUAAAUCUUCUAAGAUCAGGGGCAAUAAGCUGAGUUCUGCAAGUAGAACUUCCUAAAUGCAGCUGCAACUAGUCCACUUUCUUCAUACAUCUUGUUUUUUUAAGAGUCAAAUGUUGAGCUUAUGAUUAUAAUUCAAGCCAGUUUUAUAAACAUGUUUCUAGUUAUCUGCACACUUGCUUCUUGCCAUGUAUGUUAGACUACUGUAACUAAAAGGGAGCCUUCAGUAAAAGCACUGUUCUGUUUCAGUACUGCAUAUACAGAGCAUUGUUUUAGAAAGUAACAAUUACCUGAGGAGCAAUCCUAUUAACAAUUUCUGAAAUUUCUACUGCACAUCUACUGGUAAGCUGUUUGGUUUUUCCUUUGCCUAAGAAAAUAAUAAUAAUAAAAAAAAAAACUUAAAAAAUGGCAAAACUUUACAAUUUAUAAAGUUCAUUAUAGCUCAAAUUACACUUGAUGAAGUCCGAAGUUCAUAUAACACUAUACUGAGCAAUCUGGGGGAUUUUAAUAAAAGUAAAAUCAAACCAAACACCUCUGGACUCACCAGGUGCUGUCACGAUACAAGAAGGGGCAUUUUUCCAAUAAAUUUGAACUUUUAUCACAGAAUCAUUUGACCUGGAAGGGAUCUUUAAAGGC
Long non-coding RNA from Centrocercus urophasianus (Greater sage-grouse), 1216 nucleotides. RefSeq lists it as uncharacterized. The transcript is spliced from 5 exons. The record is from RefSeq and is a predicted model, not a curated record. Lineage: Eukaryota; Metazoa; Chordata; Aves; Galliformes; Phasianidae.